This 450-nucleotide ribosomal RNA is filed under the name uncultured bacterium. RNAcentral's name for it is "partial 16S ribosomal RNA". It matches the Rfam family "Bacterial small subunit ribosomal RNA", at positions 354 to 796 of the family's 1533-position model. The record is from RNAcentral.
GUGGGGAAUCUUCCGCAAUGGACGAAAGUCUGACGGAGCGACGCCGCGUGAGUGAAGAAGGCCUUCGGGUCGUAAAGCUCUGUCAUCAGGGACGAACGGCCGGUGGAGUGGAAAGCCACCGGAUUGACGGUACCUGAGAAGGAAGCCACGGCUAACUACGUGCCAGCAGCCGCGGUAAUACGUAGGUGGCAAGCGUUGUCCGGAAUUAUUGGGCGUAAAGCGCGCGCAGGUGGGAUCUUAAGUCCAUUUUUAAAGUUCGGAGCUCAACUCCGUGAUGGGAUGGAAACUGGGAUUCUUGAGUACCGGAGAGGAAAGCGGAAUUCCCCGUGUAGCGGUGAAAUGCGUAGAUAUGGGGAGGAACACCAGUGGCGAAGGCGGCUUACUGGACUGUAACUGACGUUGAGGCUCGAAAGCGUGGGGAGCAAACAGGAUUAGAAACCCCGGUAGUCC